AAAACUUUAGUAUAAUGUUAUGUAUUUUUAAUUGCAAAUUAAAAGGUAAAUGGUUUUU
Molecule: transfer RNA, 58 nt
Filed under: Angiostrongylus cantonensis (rat lungworm)
Lineage: Eukaryota; Metazoa; Nematoda; Chromadorea; Rhabditida; Metastrongylidae
Description: tRNA-Cys
Source: RNAcentral